GCAAGUCGAACGGUAACAGCUCUAGCUUGCUAGAGGCUGACGAGUGGCGGACGGGUGAGUAACGCGUAGGAAUCUACCUAAUAGUGGGGGACAACCUGGUGAAAACCAGGCUAAUACCGCAUACGCCCUACGGGGGAAAGCAGGGGAUCUUCGGACCUUGCGCUAUUAGAUGAGCCUGCGUCCCAUUACCUAGUUGGUAGGGUAACGGCCUACCAAGGGAACGAUGGGUAGCUGGUCUGAGAGGAUGAUC
RNAcentral lists this ribosomal RNA (250 nucleotides) under uncultured bacterium. RNAcentral describes it as "partial 16S ribosomal RNA". It matches the Rfam family "Bacterial small subunit ribosomal RNA", at positions 57 to 305 of the family's 1533-position model. The record is from RNAcentral.